Molecule: ribosomal RNA, 1154 nt
Filed under: Tetragenococcus halophilus
Lineage: Bacteria; Bacillati; Bacillota; Bacilli; Lactobacillales; Enterococcaceae
Description: bacterial SSU rRNA
Rfam family: Bacterial small subunit ribosomal RNA
Source: RNAcentral
GCGGCGUGCCUAAUACAUGCAAGUCGAACGCUGCUUAAAAAGAAACUUCGGUUUUUUCUUAAGCGGAGUGGCGGACGGGUGAGUAACACGUGGGGAACCUAUCCAUCAGCGGGGGAUAACACUUGGAAACAGGUGCUAAUACCGCAUAUGGCUUUUUUUCACCUGAAAAAAAGCUCAAAGGCGCUUUACAGCGUCACUGAUGGCUGGUCCCGCGGUGCAUUACCCANUUGGUGAGGUAACGGCUCACCAAAGCAACGAUGCAUACCCGACCUGANAGGGUGAUCGGCCACACUGGGACUGAAACACGGCCCAAACUCCUACGGGAGGCANCNGUAGGGAAUCUUCGGCAAUGGACGCAAGUCUGACCGAGCAACGCCGCGUGAGUGAAGAAGGUUUUCGGAUCGUAAAGCUCUGUUGUCAGCAAAGAACAGGAGAAAGAGGAAAUGCUUUUUCUAUGACGGUAGCUGACCANAAAGCCACGGCUANCUACGUGCCAGCAGCCGCGGUAAUACGUAGGUGGCAAGCGUUGUCCGGAUUUAUUGGGCGUAAAGCGAGCGCAGGCGGUGAUUUAAGUCUGAUGUGAAAGCCCCCANCUCAACUGGGGAGGGUCAUUGGAAACUGGAUCACUUGAGUGCANAANAGGANAGUGGAAUUCCAUGUGUAGCGGUGAAAUGCGUAGAUAUAUGGAGGAACACCAGUGGCGAAGGCGGCUCUCUGGUCUGUAACUGACGCUGAGGCUCGAAAGCGUGGGUAGCAAACAGGAUUAGAUACCCUGGUAGUCCACGCCGUAAACGAUGAGUGCUAAGUGUUGGAAGGUUUCCGCCCUUCAGUGCUGCAGUUAACGCAUUAAGCACUCCGCCUGGGGAGUACGACCGCAAGGUUGAAACUCAAAGGAAUUGACGGGGGCCCGCACAAGCGGUGGAGCAUGUGGUUUAAUUCGAAGCAACGCGAAGAACCUUACCAGGUCUUGACAUCCUUUGACCGCCCUAGAGAUAGGGUUUCCCCUUCGGGGGCAAAGUGACAGGUGGUGCAUGGUUGUCGUCAGCUCGUGUCGUGAGAUGUUGGGUUAAGUCCCGUAACGAGCGCAACCCUUAUUGUUAGUUGCCAGCAUUGAGUUGGGCACUCUAGCAAGACUGCCGGUGACAAACCGGAGG